UACGGAAGGCAGCAGUGGGGAAUAUUGCACAAUGGGCGAAAGCCUGAUGCAGCUAUGCCGCGUGUAUGAAGAAGGCCUUAGGGUUGUAAAGUACUUUCAUCGGGGAGGAAAAACAAAACUAAUAAUUUUAUUUCUUGACGUUACCCGAAAAAGAAGCACCGGCUAACUCCGUGCCAGCAGCCGCGGUAAUACGGAGGGUGCUAGCGUUAAUCAGAAUUACUGGGCGUAAAGAGCACGUAGGUGGUUUUUUUAAGUCAGAUGUGAAAUCCCUGGGCUUAACCUGGAACUGCAUUUUGAAACUGAAAUACUAGAGUAUCGUAGAGGGAGGUAGAAUUCUAGGUGUAGCGGUGAAAUGCGUAGAUAUCUGGAGGAAUACCUGUGGCGAAAGCGGCCUCCUAAACGAAUACUGACACUGAGGUGCGAAAGCGUUGGGGAGCAAACAGGGAUUAGAUACC
This 455-nucleotide ribosomal RNA is filed under the name uncultured bacterium. RNAcentral describes it as "bacterial SSU rRNA". It matches the Rfam family "Bacterial small subunit ribosomal RNA", at positions 340 to 786 of the family's 1533-position model. The record is from RNAcentral.